ACUCCUACGGGAGGCAGCAGUGGGAAUAUUGGACAAUGGGCGGAAGCCUGAUCCAGCAACGCCGCGUGAGGGAUGACGGCCUUCGGGUUGUAAACCUCUUUCAGCACCGACGAAGCGACUCUUUGGGAGUGACGGUAGGUGCAGAAGAAGGACCGGCCAACUACGUGCCAGCAGCCGCGGUAAUACGUAGGGUCCGAGCGUUGUCCGGAAUUAUUGGGCGUAAAGGGCUCGUAGGCGGUUUAGUCGCGUCGGGAGUGAAAACACUGGGCUUAAACUCAGUGCUUGCUUUCUGAUACGGGCAGACUGGAGGUAUGCAGGGAGAACGGAAUUCCUGGUGUAGCGGUGAAAUGCGCAGAUAUCAGGNGGAACACCGGUGGCGAAGGCGGUUCUCUGGGCAUUACCUGACGCUGAGGAGCGAAAGUGUGGGGAGCGAACAGGAUUAGAUACCCUGGUAGGCUCUGCU
RNAcentral lists this ribosomal RNA (463 nucleotides) under uncultured bacterium. RNAcentral's name for it is "bacterial SSU rRNA". It matches the Rfam family "Bacterial small subunit ribosomal RNA", at positions 335 to 801 of the family's 1533-position model. The record is from RNAcentral.